RNAcentral lists this ribosomal RNA (406 nucleotides) under uncultured bacterium. Its description in RNAcentral is "bacterial SSU rRNA". It matches the Rfam family "Archaeal small subunit ribosomal RNA", at positions 339 to 747 of the family's 1478-position model. The record is from RNAcentral.
GCGCGAAACCUUCGCAAUGCGCGAAAGCGUGACGAGGUUAAUCCGAGUGGCCCCCGCUGAGGGGGUCUUUUGUCAGCUGUAAAUAGGCAGGCGAAUAAGGGGAGGGCAAGCCUGGUGUCAGCCGCCGCGGUAAUACCAGCUCCUCGAGUGGUCGGGGCGAUUAUUGGGCCUAAAGCAUCCGUAGCCGGUUCCGUAGGUCCUCUGUUAAAUCCAACCGCUUAACGGUUGACCUGCAGAGGAUACCGCGGGACUAGGAGGCGGGAGAGGCGGACGGUACUCCGCGUGUAGGGGUAAAAUCCUUUGAUCCGCGGAAGACCACCAGUGGCGAAGGCGGUCCGCCAGAACGCGCUCGACGGUGAGGGAUGAAAGCUGGGGGAGCGAACCGGAUUAGAUACCCGCGUAGUCC